CCCUAAAAACAAGCCCCGAAAAAGCCUUUGUUUUUAAGGUCUGGGCGAGUGCUACUCACUGUCCAAACUACAGAACAACCGUGUCAAGGAGCCCGCCAUUCUUGCUAAAACACACGUUCACUGCCAGGCAUCAUCUAAGCUUCUGAGUCAGAAUCUCUUGGGGUGGAGUCCAGGAAUCCGUAUUUUUAACAAGCUCCCCAGAUAAUGCUUAAACAUAUCGAUGCUUAAAACCAGAGCUCUAAACCUAGAUCGAGCAGAUCCACGUGGGGGUGAGGAGGAGGCUGAGUGCUCAGGGGUGGGAGGAGAAGAGGGACCCACCCAGGGGAGGGCAAAGACCUCAGGAGUAGUGAGGAGGGGGCUGAGGAAGACCCCUGGAGGCCUGAGCUGUGUGCAGCAGAGUGGAGUCCCAGGGCCACCCCAACAGGAGAUGACUUCAGCAGACCUUGAAGAAGAUCUCAGCACCAGGCAAGCAGGACCCAUGGCCAACGAAGCCCUGGGGAGUGGGGCCAGGUGUGACUGAGUGACAAGUCCUCGGAAACGUGCCUGGGGAGGACAGUCCCCAGAUGACUGAUAUCAGCCACCCCAUCUUUCUCAGUGAGUCAGGGAUCAAAGGAGAUUUAUUUCUCAAGAAAAAUGAAGAGAUGUGGCACGCCUUGCUCCUGGGUGCAUGGAGCUAUUCAUCCCUGUCACACGUUUUGACAAAUUGCGAUGAGCCCAGAAAAGGGCUCACCUGGGCAGCUGACAUUUGUGCUGCAGGACAGAGAAAGCCAUGCUCCAGGCAGCACAGUGGGAAGGGGGAGGGCUUCGAGUGUCCCCGGAGGAACUGAGUGAAAUGGGGGCUGGAGACAGAGACCCCGUCCAGGCCACACAGAUCAAUUUGCCAACGUCUUCCUCAACCUUGAAAUACUGGAGUCUGUUUAUAGGCCAGUUGCGAAUCCUCCAGGUUCGGGAAGACUGUACUUGAAACGCUUUUAUGAAACAGCACAGUUGUGAAAUGCACCCAUAUGCUUUCUCCAGACACAUUCUUCAACUACUCUUUUCAGCAAUGCAUCUCAGAAAGCUUCAUCAACAAAAUCAAUCCAGAUUCAGAAUCCUGGAAGAAGGGAGAGGCUACGCAGAAUCACCUCACACAGUCCAAAGAACAGCCAUUUGCAGAGAAAAGCACAAAACCGUCUUCAACCUGCAUGGCAGUCCCACAUGGGAAGGAAGCACAGGACAACAUCUACUCCGAAAAACAGGCUAGCGGCUUCCCUGCCAAGAAUGCCAUCACCUAAGCAAUCGGGCUCAGAAUAUCUACACAGAGAAGUCAACUCCCCAUUAGCUAAACUCAUAAAGGGACACUGUGGAAUUGAAUGAUGGUGAAUACUUCAGAAACCAUUCGUUCCUGGCUUUCUAAGCAUUUUCCUGCACACUGUUGAACAUUGGCCAAGCAACUGUCUAACGGUCUGCAGACACCCUUUGGAAAGAGCAGCAAGGCCUGCUCUGAGGAUAACUCGGGGGCGGGGCUGGGAAGCCCUCCAGGUCUGCAGCCCCAGCUUCACUGGCCGUUGACGUAAAGCAGCCGCCUGGCAGGGCCACCUCCUCAAAGGACCCAUCCUAGCCACUCAGGUCCAUCCCGCAACCAGCCCCCACUCGCUCUUUCAAACGGUACCCACCCACCCACUCAACCAACUGCUCAACUCUGGGCCUGGAAAGGGACAGGUGGGGCCCAAUCCACCAGAGGGGACAGGGCCGGGUCGUGUCCUGCCCUGCUCCAUCAUAGCCCCUCCCAUGCCCCCAACAGACUUGCCCACCCCAGGGUUAUAUUAGUUUCAUCCAAAAUUCUUUUUUUUUUCUUUAAUUAAAUGGUACUUGAGGAACAUAGAAAGUUUCCUCCAAUAUUCUAAAGUCAUGUUGACUGUAUGAUUGUACUUUAUGAAAUGAAAUAAGAUUAUGAAUCCAGGAGAAGCUGAAGUUCAGUUACCACCCAAUCAUGACCUUUAGAGGGACAGCAAUGCAGUCAGGUGGUCCACAGUCCAAGCUCGACUCCCUCACUUUAACCAUAACAUACACUUAAAAUCAGCCAGCUGUGUCUCAAGCUCGGAACAUGAUUGAUUCUUAUUCUUUCCAUCUUUAUAAGAACCCAUGAGGUGGGUAAUACGAUUACCAACAUCUUCCUUUUAUCGAUGGAGAAAUUCGGGCACAGGAGGGUUGAGUGAAGCAUCCAAGGUCACAUGGCUGCCAAUGGGCAGAGCUGGGACUCGAACCCAGGCCAGCUGGCCCAGAUAAGGUGCCAGGUGCCCCUCGACUCCCCUGCCUCUCUCCCAAGCAAGCUCCUGCCUGCCUCACUGCACAGCUCUGUGUGUUAGCUGCAAUCCCGUGCCCUCACUGUCCUCACCAGGCUGCCCUGAGGAUCCCUGAGAUGGCAAUGGGAAGACUGGCACACAGGACUCAGCCCCACACAUAGAGUCGCACAGGAUGCAGUCUCCACACACAGAGCCACA
RNAcentral lists this long non-coding RNA (2483 nucleotides) under Homo sapiens (human). Its description in RNAcentral is "HSALNT0248315". The record is from RNAcentral. Lineage: Eukaryota; Metazoa; Chordata; Mammalia; Primates; Hominidae.